AGAGUUUGAUCCUGGCUCAGAAUCAACGCUGGCGGCGUGCCUAACACAUGCAAGUCGCACGAGAAAGGGUAGCAAUACCUGAGUACAGUGGCGCACGGGUGAGUAACACGUGAAUAAUCUACCUCCGAGUGGGGAAUAACUUAGGGAAACCUGAGCUAAUACCGCAUAACACUUACGAGUCAAAGCAGCAAUGCGCUUGGAGAGGAGUUCGCGGCAGAUUAGUUAGUUGGCGGGGUAAUGGCCCACCAAGACAAUGAUCUGUAUCCGGCCUGAGAGGGCGCACGGACACACUGGAACUGAAACACGGUCCAGACUCCUACGGGAGGCAGCAGUGGGGAAUUUUGCGCAAUGGGGGAAACCCUGACGCAGCAACGCCGCGUGGAGGAUGAAAUCCCUUGGGAUGUAAACUCCUUUCGAUCGGGACGAUUAUGACGGUACCGGAAGAAGAAGCCCCGGCUAACUUCGUGCCAGCAGCCGCGGUAAUACGAGGGGGGCGAGCGUUGUUCGGAAUUAUUGGGCGUAAAGGGUGCGUAGGCGGUUUGAUAAGUCUGAUGUGAAAUCUAUGGGCUCAACCCAUAGUCUGCAUUAGAAACUGUCGGGCUUGAGAAUGGGAGAGGUGAGUGGAAUUUCCGGUGUAGCGGUGAAAUGCGUAGAUAUCGGAAGGAACACCUGUGGCGAAAGCGGCUCACUGGACCAUUUCUGACGCUGAUGCACGAAAGCUAGGGGAGCAAACAGGAUUAGAUACCCCGGUAGUCC
RNAcentral lists this ribosomal RNA (756 nucleotides) under uncultured bacterium. Its description in RNAcentral is "bacterial SSU rRNA". It matches the Rfam family "Bacterial small subunit ribosomal RNA", at positions 8 to 796 of the family's 1533-position model. The record is from RNAcentral.